RNAcentral lists this unclassified non-coding RNA (225 nucleotides) under Hevea brasiliensis (rubber tree). Lineage: Eukaryota; Viridiplantae; Streptophyta; Magnoliopsida; Malpighiales; Euphorbiaceae. The record is from RNAcentral.
UAUGAAGCCUAUUUCUGGAGCAAUACUGUAGAUUCUAACACAUCAAAUGCUGGGUUGCGAGUAGUAUUCGAUGAUUCAGGCUACUUGUAUGUGUUGCGAGCAAGCGGUAAACGAGAACUCCUCACUACAGGAACAGUUGCCUCAGCUGCAGAAAAUUAUCACAGAGUUACUCUCAAUUUUGAUGGGGUUUUAGUCCAGUAUACGCGCCCAAGGAAUUCCACUGGC